GUUUGGUGAUAUGGAGGCCACUAGUUGCUGUGAUAACCGCUAGACGGAGAUGGUGGGCAUGAUGACUAGUUGUAAAGGGUUCAAGAGAGAAUGAGAAGAAAAGAAGAGAGAUCGCAAGGAGAGCACAGCCCCAGGUCCAUUAAUAGAGCUGCGGUGUUGAAGCAUCUUUUAAAGUUGGAAGGUAAUAUGUGUUUACAUAUCGGUAGGCAUGGUCCAGUAGAGGCAGAAAACAUGAUGAUGCAGGAAGAAGAAAACGUCUUGAGAAAGGUGACUCCGGGGACUUGCUGGCCUCUGACUCUGAUUCUUGCCUCCCCUUUGGGAAACUGCUUCUGAUGCUCCAUAAGCUUUGGCUGAUGUCAGCUGAAGACAGCACGGGCUACAUACAAAAGGAACUUUCUGACUUGGAAGUCGAGGAUGCUCGUGCAGCUUCCCAAAGAUGUUGAGUUAGAGUUGGCCGUCAGACAAGCACAUGCUGAUAAAGUUCUCAGACUUCCUGUGUUCAUUAGGCCAAUGAUCAAGCUCAGAUUUUGAUGUAGAAGAGCCCACUGGAUCUCCAGACACAGGAUAGUUGCAUAAUAAGUAUCUAUAAGUGACUUUUGAAGAAAUAAAUGAGUUAACAUCGCCCCAUCUGGGAUAGGGAAACUUAAGAUGAGUACCAUCCUUCUAGCUAGUAAGAGGUUGACUUAUAAAAGUUCUGGACAGGCUCUGUAAGUGUGGUGGAUUUGAGAUCACAUCUUAAUGAUCAGCUAAGUCAAGAAGGGUCAAAUAGCUACCAAGCCACAUACGGAAGUUCAGGAAAAUUGCAUCAGGAGAUCUCUAAAAUGUCACUGUCGAUUACAUAAUCUAAGCCUUUCUACUCCAUACUGUUCAAUAUGAGCAGAAGAUGUGAAGUAAGAAGAGGGCCAAAGGUAGUUUGAGAUAGAGAAAGAGAGCCAUCGAAACCCCACUUUGGACAGAAUUGUUGCCUUAAGCCCAAUGAGGACCUUUACUUUUGCAAAACAAAGAGCUUUCCCCAGAUAAGCACCCCCUUCACCUUCAUCAUGAGUCAGUACUACGGGCCGUGGAACAUGCUAGGGCAGAAAUCCCCAGUGCACUGAAAACUCACUCUCCCACGUUCUGUUAAGUGUCCUCAUUUUCCACCUGUUUCUUUCUUUCUUUCUUUCUUUCUUUCUUUCUUUUUUUAAAUGCAAAGCACUUAAGGUGACUUUUCUCUUUUUCUCUAUAGAUACAACUUAUCUUAGUUGAGGAGUGGAGGGGAAAAUUUCAACAAAUCUAGGCUCUCUUAUUCUUUGGAAAACUCUGUACAUUCUUUUACAUUUUAGAUUACAAAAAAAAAAAAAGUGAUGUUGAUGUUAGAUGAACUAAAUGAGGGCCAGGAGAGAGAUGGGGAAAUACAAUUUCCUAAGACCCGGGUCAAAAGCCUGACAGCUCCUCCCCAUCUUGUUUCUUAUUCUGAAGGAAGGUGGGCAUGAGUAACCAGAUGAUGGGAUCUAUGAGGGAUGGCCAUGGGCUCUGGCCACACGGGGCGCAUACAGAGGCCCCUGGGUGGGGAAGGUAUUCAGGACUAGGUCACAGAUUCUUCCAGAAAAAGCCAUGAGGUGCUGUCAGCAAAGACAGUAGGCAACUUUCAACCACCAAGACAUCCUGUCACGUGGUUCUCGCUCUGCGCCCAAAAAAGACGUCAGUCAGUGGCCCAUUUUAGGACAUCGUUACCCGUCACAGGCUGAGAACCAAAGAAUGGGAGUUGGCUGAUCAGCUCUCCUUCCUCCCCUGCGCUCUCUUUUCCUUUCUUCCUCACUUCCUUUCUUCUAAGAGAGAAUAGGAACUGAUAGAAUACUGACCAACGUGUACCCAGGUCCUGAAACGCCUAGAUUCUGUGGCAUGUGCUUUUCGUCUUUCAACGAGAGGGGUUGUGGAGACACGAGCAUGCUUGGGCAGUACUGCCUAACGACCAGGACCAACACCCUUGGGCUUAAGGCCAAGUUCAAUCCUGACCCUGUGUCCUUGGCUCGGUGAUUUAAACUCUUGGAGCCACAACCUCUUAUCUCCUACCAUGACAAAAACUGUCACGUCUCUUUUGGUCGGAUUGUGAAAUGGACUAAAUAACACGAUGCCAAGUGGUGUCAGAAGCAUCUGUCGAAGCGAAUGACACUUCAGCCUUGAAGCCUUUCUCUUGCACAGGCCCUUUUCAAGACCCUGGGAGUACUGAAUGCUUGCAGUAUUUGAAACCUUCAUAAAAUUCACGAUUUAGAAUCUUUUCCUUCUUAACACUUAUUUUCAUGCCUGAUUGGUAUGUAUAAAGUUUUGUGAGUUUUCUUAAAGAAAAUCCCUAACUCACACAAGCUGCAGGCUCCAGCAAGUGUUCGGCUCAGGACCUGGAAUGUAGACAUAAUUCACGACAUGGUAGAUGACAAUGGUUCCGUUUAAUUCUUUGAGAGAUGUUUAAGGCUUUGUUCAAAUUAGUGAGUUAGAACGCAUGGCGACAGCUAAAAGAAUAUAUAUCCUGAUGAAGAUGAUGAUAAUGAUGAGGGCCAGCAUUUUAUCUUAUUAACUUCAUUUAAUUUGGGAGGGCUGCACCCAUGGCGUGCAGACGUUCCUGAGCCAGGGAUCAAACCCAAGCCCAUGGUAGAAACAAUGCCAGAUCCCUAACCACUAGGCCACCAGGGAACUCCCAGUGACCGUAUAUUAAAUAUGACCACCCCUUCUAUAGGAAACUAAAUAACUGGUGAAUUUUUUAUUGGAUAAUCCAGCACCUUGUGGCAAGAGUCCUAGAAUGUCUCCAAAGUCCCUAAGAUGAAGACAGAUAAUUAACGAAUUGGUAGGGGGAGAAAGAGAAAGGGUCGCUAGUCAUCAGCGUCUGGUUAGUUAUGUCUGCAUCCAUCAGCCCGUCUGGACUUUUCCAUUACGAACGCCCGCCCCUUCGCCAAGUUCCCCAGGGGCGGGGUGGCACCCCUCACCCACACAGAGGGUGGUCAGCUGUUUGUAGGUCUCUCCAUUGUUUCUCUCAGUCACGGUCCCGGACUCUUAUCUGUCCCACUCUCCUCCUUCUAUACUGUGGUUGCAUUUUUCUGUGGUAUUGAACGCUGCGGAUAACGCUGGUAAAAAAUGCGAAUCCUUCAGGGCACAUUAGAACACCCUUUGUUUAAACUCACUCCCACCCCAUUUCUCUGCCAGGAGCCUGGUGAGGAGGAAGGCGUGAGCCGAGAGAAAGGGCCAAGCCGCAUACUUAAAAUUCCAUCAGUUCGAUUUCUUUAAUGCACGAUGGUCAUUUUUAAUCUCGCUCUGUUUGACAAAUACCUGCAUUUCAAGUAAGUGUUAAGAUUGUGUCUGUUUUUAUUAGAACUUAUUCGUCAUUAUGUGACAGUCGUUUCUGAUGACACCUGUCAUGGGCCCGGUUUCCGUGGUGAAUACUGUCAGGUCCCAGAAUAGAAGCGGACCAAGCCCCAUUCAUUCCCUGAACACACGCCGUGGGCCCACCACGCAGGGUACCAUUUUUCUCGCCAUUCAAAACUGAGAAAAUGGAGAACACAAAUGAGGAGGAGGUUGAUCUUUAGACACAGAGACUAGAAUUGCCGGGAAGUUUCAGGAAUUUUGAAGGCAGAAGUCUGUGCGGGCAGUGCCGUCAAUUGUGUAGUUGGGGAGUUUGGCUCUCUGGGCACUUGGAACACAGUAAAUUGACAACUUUAGAUUCCAAGUUGUCUGCCUGUAUGGUUUCAGUUUAAAUUCUUAGCCCUGCGGGAAACUCAGCCCGGCCAAGUCGUGUCAUUCACUGAAUAGCCAUCCAUCUGUUCAUUCAGCAAAUAUUUAGUUAUUUACAGUAUCCAUUCACUCUACAGAACAUUCAAUAGAUGUGUAUUCACGCAUUUAUUUAACAAGCGAAUGUGUUUUUAAAUGAACACUUGUUAAAUUUCUACUGUAUGGAAGACGCAGGGAUGGGCCAUCUUGGCAGCUGCACUGUUCUCCCCAAGAGCCUAUAAAUCCAGGAAAGUUCUUGUCCUCAUGUCACCAUCAUGGAAAGGCCCUAACCUUAAUCUUGAUUGUACCACACAGUCUUAUAGCCUCUGUGAGGUAGACAGAUGGGGGCAGGCGAAUGCUCUAGACCAUGGUAGGUGUCUCCGUUACUCUCUCUGCCUCCCAGUGAAUGUGCAGAAAAGGUCUUCUACAUACACAAAGUCUGAUACUAGGUACUCAAAAAAAAAAAAAAAAAAAAAAAAAAAAAAAAAAAAAAAAGACAUCAGCUGUACCAAACUUCAUAGUCCAGAGGCAUGCAGGGUGCUCUGGAAACUCACACUUGAUUGGAGAAGGGAGGUGAGGAUUGAGAUGAAUGAAUGAACGCAUGAGGCUCUAUUUUGGUACCAGACUUCUAUGCUUGCUUUGGAAGCUAAGCCAGGCAGAGAAGACACCCAAGAAGAAGCAGACGCUCCCCAAGCUCACUCUGGUUGCAGACGCUGAAUCCCCCACCACUGCAGGGCUUAAUUAUCAAAAGAAGCGAGGUGAGCAUUUUCCAAACCUUUCUGUGAGUAGCCUGGGCUGGGUUUUGACCUGUGCCAGCCCUCACCUAUCAUCACUCAGGCCUGCCUGGCUGGAUAUCAACCCCUGGGUCUAGUGGGGAGUCGUGUGCAUCCAGGGAGUCUGAAACAAGGAGACAUGACUGGUGGGUUGGGCAGAGCACUUGACAGGCAUCAAUUAUGAUACUCAGACCCCUCCAAGCACUUGCCCUCUCUGCAACAGCGUAUAAUUAGGGAAGGGUAGGUAAUCAGGAGCUUAGUGAUUUUCAAAGGAGCACCUGUGCAAACGACGCCCAGCAACAUCUGCCAACCCUUCUGGACGAACGAUCAGGAUGUAAUCUGCUCGAACUUGCUGCUCUUAAGGCGGGCAAUGUUAGGGUAGGGUGAUAGACAUCCAUGUGCAGGACUUCAUUCCUCAAGCUACGUGAGUGGAGGCCAUAGUGGAGAGGACGUGGAGGGUGCACUCAGAGAGUAAAGGUCAGACGUCCAAUCUCCAGUCUGUCGUCGAUAACCAUAUAAGCCUGAACAACCUCCUCAAGGCCUCUAACCCUCAGUUUCCUCAUCUGUAAAAGGGGAGCAGAUCAAACCCACAGGGUGCGGUUAUGAGGAUAUUAGCGCAAGGCCUGUAAUAUACCUGGGUAGUUACUGCACAGAGCAGAUAACAAGUGGCAAUUAGUGUUACUUAGAGUAAUGAAACGCAAGGUAAUUAAAAAAGAAUAAACAGAGAUACCAAAAUCUUUAUUUUUGCCAAAUUAGCAUGGCCCUUACAAUUAUCCAGUUCUCAAUAAUAAUAAAAAAAAAACCCUUCUAUUUUAAAGAUUCUCACACUAAAGUAAAAAGGAUAUAGGAGCUUCCCUUCAGAAGAAAACUCUUCAUUAAGAUAAUUUAGCAUUUCAAAAAAAUAAUAAAAUCAUUUUCCAGUUUGAUUUGGAGUUUAGCAUCAGUUAAUUUCUCUUUGUUCUUCUCUCCUGGUUGUGCUAAUGUCCCCUUUGUGUGUGUACAUUUGUCCAAUGCAAUCUAAGAAACAAUCACCUUAAUUGAUCGGGUGUUAACCUCUAACAGCUUAAGACAUAGGCUUUUUAUCUAUCGCUCAAUCUCUGCUGCAGAUGUAAUUCCCUAUAGUGCUUCCAUCUUUGUCACCAUCACCAGUGGUUCCUUCUCAGGAAAGCAUUUCAGUAAAUAAUGCUGCUGCAAACAAAACAGGCCAUUUACCCGAGGGGCCCCGCCAUCGUGGAAAAGCCCAGUUAUGGUCUCAUGCUUUGCCCGGUGGUGUACAUAAUGAUAAAUUUCAUACAGGUGUCACCCUUUCCAAGACCCUGGCAAGGAUUGAUGGUUUACAGUAGGCUGAUCCAUCAUCCGGGGCAGGUGGCACCCUAUCGGAAUUUCAGAAAUCUGUUCCCAAUCACAUUCACUGUUGGGUGACUCAGUAACGACCCUAUUUGCGGUGCGUUACUGAAAAUCAAUGUGCUGCAUUCAAGGUCAAUGUACUGUUGGAAAACUCUUUAAGCGCUGAUGGAUGGAUUGUGCCCAUUCAGAAUAAAUGCGAGAAAAAAGGGACAGCUGAGCAUCCAAGAGUCACACCAAUUUUCAAAGACAGGCUUCCUCCUUGAGCAGGCAGUGGGAUUCCCGGAGGGGUGACCUCACACAUCUCCUCUUGCUCUCUGUUGAGAGGGCUGUGUCUGCAUUUAUGAGGGUGUCUUCCCUCACACAAUUAAAGCAUCCACAUCCAGAAUCUCUGUGGAUAUUUUAUCAAGCCCAUGCUUCAGAAACCCUCCAAGUCAAGUGGGGAUCAAAGAAUUCAACAGGAGCCAAUCGAGGCCAAGCACCAGGUGGACAAGUUAAAGCACACCUAUUGAGAGAAAUAACUCAGAAAACGACCAAAGACAAGACACUCAUCCCUUAGUUUAUUUCAUAAACAUAGCAUCUUCAAAAUGUGCCACGCAGUGAAGGAGGGGUCGGGGUAUAAAAAAUGA
RNAcentral lists this long non-coding RNA (6481 nucleotides) under Sus scrofa (pig). RNAcentral describes it as "lncRNA (ENSSSCG00060027620.1)". Lineage: Eukaryota; Metazoa; Chordata; Mammalia; Artiodactyla; Suidae. The record is from RNAcentral.